GUGGGGUUGAGAGGGAGGAGUGGCAGAGAGGAGACCUUCAGGGGGGCUUCCCAGCAGCCCACCCUGCGGCCAGCCUCAGGUGCUUAUCUCAGGAGUUGGCAUGUCAGCCUCAAGGCAGAAAACAGCUGGCCACAGUUUAUCUUCUCCUCCUGCACUAAUGUAAAACUCAUCUGCCCAGUGACCGCGGUCUCUUUUGAUCCUCCAUUCGGAACACCAAGUUCAUCCUCAAAACCGCUCGCUUGACUAACAAGGAACACUUUCCAUUUUUGUAAACCUCCCAAAACAGAGAUCUGAAUGAACUGAGAUCUGGGUUCAAGUUCUAGCUCAGAAGUUCACUCAGCCAGUCACAGAACUUCUCUUCACCUACUUUUGCUCAUCAAAAAUGAGUUGAUCAGACUGCCCAAUGGUGAGAUAAUGGCUGCAAAGCUAAGUCACCAGGAGGACUGACGGCUCACUCUUUUUUCUUAUUUUUUUUUGAGACAGGUCUCCCUAUGUAGUCUAGGCUGCCCUGAAACUCACUAUGUAGCCUAGGCUGGCCUCAAGUUUGUGGCAGUCCUCCUGCCUCAGCCUCCCCAGCGCUGGGAUUACAGGCGUGCGCCACCAUACCUGGCAUCUGAUGGGUCACUCUUCUCAUUGACCGCUAGGCUCAACUACUGCCCAGUCUCCCAAGAACAAGUGCUGUUUGGCAACUUUGUUGUUGUUGUAGCAGAUAAGGAAAGUUAUUAUUUUAUCAGCUGGCAGCAGUUUCUUUUGCAGAAGGAAGUGUCUUUGUUUAGGGAAAUACCUUAAGAGGCGCCCCCGCCCCCAGGAUAGAAGGUGAGGCACUCAGGACCUGGGUUGGGAGGCAAACACAAAGAUGGCUUAAUAGCUCUGUCUGAGGAAGGAGCUGGAGUUGGGGGAUGAAGAACAAAGAGAAGGAAAAGGAACAAUUAGCAGUGUGGCCAGAAGCUAAAGCCUCCCUGGUGCUUUGUUGGAGAUGAGAAGAACCUGGAAUCUCCAGAAGGAAAGACGAGCAACCCAGAACCCGGUAACGUUCAGUUGGCAAGCCACUUUUAGAAGCAGGCUACCUGGUAACAUGGGAGCCCAUCCAACUUCAGGCGUGGAGAAUGGCCCACUUCCACAUGGGUCCUUCCAGUGGUCUACAGGUGACGUCGCCACACGGGAGGAACUGGUGGAUGCCUGCCAGGUGAUCCACAGAAGAUCCCCACAUCAGCUCCCUCAGUCGCAGUGAUGGUAGAUGGAUGUCCCAUCAUUUGGCUCUCUCCCCCACCUGGCCUCAGCUGGCAUUUUGGUGGCCC
Molecule: long non-coding RNA, 1298 nt
Filed under: Heterocephalus glaber (naked mole-rat)
Lineage: Eukaryota; Metazoa; Chordata; Mammalia; Rodentia; Bathyergidae
Description: lncRNA (ENSHGLG00100036101.1)
Source: RNAcentral